This is an RNA transcript of Balaenoptera musculus (blue whale), 5099 nucleotides long. It is a transcript of the gene named pantothenate kinase 3-like, with no coding region annotated. The record is from RefSeq and is a predicted model, not a curated record. Lineage: Eukaryota; Metazoa; Chordata; Mammalia; Artiodactyla; Balaenopteridae. The transcript has a single exon.
GGAGGUUUGCAAAUUUAUACUCUAACACUCUUUAGAAACGACAGUUUAAUAUGCUAUGAUCAAAAAAUCACACUUGUGCUGUAAGCAUUUUAACUUUCCCUUCAUUGAUAACAACAUGUUUAAAAUUAAGACGGAAGCACACAGGGAAAUCUUCUUUCUCUUUACAUGCAAAUGCAUAUAAUCAUGUUGACCAGGUAUGCUUUCCAAACUACCAGAGAACUGAGGACAGAGAUAAUGUUUAGGGGUAAGACACAAUCUUCUUUCCACUGGGCCCACAUGAAGACGUAACCACCCUGACGCCCAGUUUGAUUUAAGAACUGAAAGCUCAGUAUGUGUCAAUGUUCCCUUCACAAAAGUGCCCAGUUAGCUCACAUUUUCGCAGAAUUGUACCAUAAGCCCUAGUAUGAAAGGUGAGUAAUAUUAAGAAUGUAGCUUUCUCAAUUCCAGCAGGACCCUACUUUUUCAAUAGGUCACCAAAAGUUAAGCCUUUCAUAAAAAAACUACAGAUAAAGGGAAAAACACAGGUAGAUAAGCAGCAUUAGCAACUUAUCUUGGCCAAAUAAACUGGACUUAGAACAGGGGUAUAUGUGGUCUUUUCUUUCCAACCCAACCCAACCAUCUAAUAGUGCAAUCAUUUUUAUUUUUAAAAAUAGGAGUAACUUUCUCAUUGUUUAUAACUGUGACGUUCAUGAAUACAUUUGUGCCAAGGACCCAUCUAUGGUCACUAUGUCAGUGGUUCUUAAGCUUUAGUGUGUAUGAUUUACCCAGUGCUAUGUAUAAUGCAUAUUCCCAGGCUUCAUCUCAAGAGAUCCUGAUCUAGUUAAACCGGGGGUGGGGGGGGGUGGGGGAAGUAUUUGCAUUUUAAGAUGAAUUCUGAGAUGAAUUCUGAUGCAGCUGGUUGACUUUGAGAAUCAUUGACAGAGUAGGUUGAUGGAUGAUUACCCGACUCAAAUUACUCCAAUAUGUGCUAAACGCAGAAUAUUUGAUUAAUAAGCACACAAACUUAGAUAUAGUUAUUUAUUCACUUAAAAUAUAUCACAGCCUAGUAUAUACUCAUACUCAUUUUUUUAGGCUUACAUGUAAAGUAACUUAUAGCUAUGGUUUCAACUCUACUACUUGGGAGACUGAGAUCAGUAAGCCUUCCUGGGUAUCCACGCCCCCGUUUUAGCAUACUUUAUGAAAAAUCUGCAUUUCAUAUCCUUCCGAAACCUUUGAAGAACGUGUGGAGUGUGUGCCCAUGUCGCAAUCUUCAAAUUUUAAAAGUCUCAUCACUAGGCUAUCAGUGUAAUGCACGACAAGACUUCCCUUAAAACCUCUCCCUCCUCCCCUCCCACUCAGUCAUCUAAUUCUUGUCAUUUCAAUUUAAGAAUCUUUCUUUAGAGUACUGCGGCGGCGGCUCCGGGGCCGGGGCCUUUCGUUUGGGGCGGCAAACAAGGCCUGCGGCUUCCCCUGCUCGCUCGGUCCCGGCCGCCCCUCGCGGGGGUGGGGGGCCGAGCCCUGGGCCGGGGCCUCGUCUCAGGCGCCCCCGCCCCGCCCGGCCCGGCCCGAGGGGAGGAAGCGGCCCUGCCACCGCCGGAGUCGCCGCCACAGCCCUCUGCGCUCCGAACCGAGGCCGCCUCUCGCCCCUCGGGCCGACCUCAUGAAGAUCAAGGAUGCCAAGAAACCCUCUUUCCCAUGGUUUGUCAUGGACAUCGGGGGAACUCUGGUAAAGCGCUCAUAUUUUGAACCUAUCGAUAUCACAGCAGAGGAAGAAGAAGUUGAGAGCUUAAAAAGUAUCCGGAAAUACGUGACUCCUAAUGUAGCCUAUGGAUCCACUGGUAUUCGGGAUGUACACCUUGAACUGAAAGAUUUAACACUUUUUGGCUGGAGAAGGAACUUGCACUUUAUCAGAUUUCCAACCCAGGACCUGCCUACUUUUAUCCAAAGGGGAAGAGAGAAAAACUUCUCAACAUUACACACGGUGCUAUGUGCUACAGGAGGUGGUGCUGACAAGUCUGAAAACGAUUUUCACACAGUUGGAAAGCUCCACCUGCACAAACUGGAUGAAGCUGACUGCCUUGUAAAGGGCUUGCUGUAUAUAGAUCCUGUCAGUUUCAAUGGACAAGCAGAGUGCUAUUAUUUUGCUAAUGCCUCAGAACCUGAGAGAUGCCAAAAGAUGCCUUUCAACCUGGCUGACCCCUACCCGCUGCUGGUAAUAAACACUGGUUCUGGAGUCAGUAUUUUAGCAGUCCAUUCCAAAGACAACUAUGAACGAGCAACUGGGACAAGCCUUGGAGGGGGCACCUUUCUGGGUUUAUGUAGUUUAUUGACUGGCUGUGAAAGUUUUGAAGAGGCUCUUGAAAUGGCAUCCAAAGGUGACAGCACAAAGCUGACAAGCUGGUCCGUGAUAUUUACAGAAGAGAUUAUGAAAGAUUUGGUCUGCCUGGUUGGGCUGUAGCAUCUAGUUUUGGGAAUAUGAUUUAUAAGGAGAAGCGAGAAUAUGUUAGUAAACAACAUCUAGCAAGAGCUACAUUAGUUACUAUCACCAAUAACAUUGGUUCUGUGGCACGAAUGUGGGCUGUUAAUGAGAAAAUAAACAGAGUUGUCUUUGUUGGAAACUUUACGUGUCAAUACUCUCUCGAUGAAACUUUUGGCAUAUGCACUGGAUUACUGUCAAAAGGUCAACUGAAAGCACUGUUUCUAGAGCAUGAGGGGUAUUCUGGAGCAGUUGGUACACUUCUUGGGCUGCCAAAUUUCAGCUAAGCAUCGGGUUUCUCUCUGUUAAUAAAUGUCAUUCGAGAGGAAAUGAAGACCAGAGGUGUUAUUACUGCAUUAUUUGUCACUGGGAACCAAAGGAUAAAAGAGUAGCACUAUUCCUGUUGAUUUUUAAGUGUCAGAAUGGUUAGCUGCUCUAUGUUGCCAUAUUAAAAAGAGAGCUUCAGUAAUGUGAAGUAUUUCUAAGUGAAAUACUCUCCCUUCUGUAUAUAGCCAGUGUUAAAUCCUUAAAUGCAAUACAGCCUCUGAUGAUUGAGCCUCCUCUGAAAAAGAUCUUCUGUUUAUUUUAUUUUAUGUAGCCAACAUUGGAGUACUGUAUGUUCAAACAUGAAUCUUAAAGUCUCAGAAAUGUUUAGCUCAUGAAAAGAACUGAUUCUGAGUAUUUGUUACAAGUCUGUUCUAUGUGUGCUUUGGUUACUAGUAAGUGGACAGUAACACACCCUGCAUCGAAACUUACUGAAAUGGCAAUCAGAGAUGAUCAUCUUUAUGUGAUUUUAGAAAUGUUAAAGCAAUAUUAAUUAUCCAUUACUGUUGUUUUCCAAACAUAUCUUCUCCCAAAAAGCAUGUUUAUGUGAUCUUUCCCCAGAAGUAUAACCUUUUUCAAAUGUCAUAAUUUAAUUGAAAUACUAUUGUUAAACAUUAGUCUGAAUUUUAAAAUGAAUCCUAGAAAAUGCACAUAAUUGGUGAUACUUCAUUUUUUGUAUUUUAAGUUUAUCAGAUAGUACAUUUUAAAAUGUUUUUUAAUUGGAGGCUUAAUUACUUAUUUGAAAGUCCGUUCAGUGAGGUCCCAGGACUAUUUGAAUGGAGUAUGGUUUAUGUGUAGGGUUAUUGGUAGGGUUCUGUGCUCUUCUCUCUAUACCACAUUUAUCUUAGGCCCAAAGUUAGCCAUUUCUGUUUAAUUAGGUCUGAACCAUCAAAGCUAAAGACUGUCUUCUACUGUGAACAGCAACAAAAUCAUUUAUUCUAAACGGAUGUUAUGGAAAUUUAAAAGACGAGUUGUUUUGAAACUAUGGGAAUCUGAGGCUGUAUUGCAGAAUUAUAAAAGGAUCAAUGUUUCAUACAUUCUGGUAAUAAAAGCAUUAAUAGUCCCCCCCCCCCCAAAAAAAGAAUCUUUCUUUAACUUGGUUUCUUCUCUCCAUUUUCACUGUCAAUACUUUAGUUCAGGAUCUCAUUAAGUCAAAACAUACUAAUCUCUUGUUGAAAGCCUUCUAUCAGAACAAAAUCAAAACUCCUAUAGCAUAGUGAACAUGGUCCUUUUCAAUCUGGCUCAGAGCUUUCUCUCCAGUGUCAUCUUCUACCACUUCCUGUUAUUACCCUCUCCCCACCCUAACCCAAUACAACAUUACAAACACAUAGGUAAUUCUGACAACUAGUGCCUCUACACAUAACAUUUUGCCUAAAGCUGUCUUUUACCUUAUUUCUUUGCCUGGGAAGUUACUUAUCCGCCAUUUUUUUGAGACCGUUCUUGAUGUUUUAAUGGCAGAAUUCCCUAUGCUUUCCUUUGUUCUCCCAUAACACUUGUUCAUGCCUCCAUAAUAAACAACAUGUUAAACAGUAUUGUAAUUAUCUGUUUGAUUGUCUAUGCUCAUCCAUUAAUUGAUCAAUGGGUAUACACUUCAGGCCUGUAAAACUUAUUGCCAAAGACUGCUUCAGAAGGGUUUUAGUUUUGAGUUCUACUAGCAUUUAGUUUUGAGUUCUACUUAGCAGCACAACUGGGCUUGUUUCUUUACAUCUUACCAAUACUAAGUUUCUUAAUCCUUACUACUUUGGCAGGUGAGAAUAGUUUUACAAUAUAGUUUUAAUUUUAAUUUCUUUGCUUAGUAAUCAGGUUGAUCACUUUUUCAUAUUCAUGGUAAUGCCUAUAUGUUCCUCACUAAUUUUUAUAUUGGGAAGAGUCAAUUCCCUUUUUCUAAAUGACUUAUAUAAGAACUCCAUGCACAAAGAUACUAACCCAUCUUUCGCAGAUGUAUUGUAAAAUAUGUGGUGUUUUUAAAUCUACAAGGCUUUAAUUUUUGGUUAGUCAAUCUUUUUAUUUUCUUUCUUUGCUUUUAUUAUUAGGAAGUUCUUCUCUAAUCCAAGAUCAGAUACAUAUUCCCCUAUUUCCUUCUACUUCAUUUAUGGAUUUAUUUUUGACACCAAGUUGUAUAUAACUUUAUUUUUUUUUUCCCAAUUAGUCUAUUAAUGUGCUAAUAUUUAGAACUGGAAAAAAUAAAGAUGAGAUAAUGAUAAAAUAAUAGCUCCCCCCACCCUUAAGUUUUAACUGUAUUGGCAAUGCUUUAUUUCUUAAAACUGAAUAAACUAGUAUUGGUUGCAUUUUUGCUUUAUACUUUUCUAUGUGGCUUAAA